UACGUAGGGUGCAAGCGUUAAUCGGAAUUACUGGGCGUAAAGCGUGCGCAGGCGGUGAUGUAAGACAGUUGUGAAAUCCCCGGGCUCAACCUGGGAACUGCAUCUGUGACUGCAUCGCUGGAGUACGGUAGAGGGGGGAUGGAAUUCCGCGUGUAGCAGUGAAAUGCGUAGAUAUGCGGAGGAACACCGAUGGCGAAGGCAUCCCCUGGACCUGUACUGACGCUCAUGCACGAAAGCGUGGGGAGCAACAGG
This 252-nucleotide ribosomal RNA is filed under the name uncultured bacterium. Its description in RNAcentral is "partial 16S ribosomal RNA". It matches the Rfam family "Bacterial small subunit ribosomal RNA", at positions 524 to 775 of the family's 1533-position model. The record is from RNAcentral.